AGGCAUAAGAUGGACCUUGAGAAGCUGUCAAUGGAAGGCGGAAGAUCAUGUAGGAAGAAGAUCGAGUGUUUAUGCGGGGAUUGUUGCUUCACCAGGUCUAAGGAUGAGGUACUGAAGGUGAUGCUGGGCAGGACGUACAACCAGCUGGUAGACAGAACUACCAAGUUAGGCAGACAGAGAGGGAAGUUCCGGCGUGUGCAAGCCGUUCAUCUUAGUCAACUACCCAGGAACUAUCCUAUAGCUCUAAACCCUAGGUGUAUGUACUAUCCUUGCUAGGACGCACCUCUGAGGGUACUAUUCCUGCUAAGACGUACCUCUGAGGGUAGUAUCCCUGCUAGAACGCACCUCUGAGGGUACUAUUCCUGCUAAGACGCACCUCUGAGGGUACUGUUCCUGCUAAGACGCACCUCUGAGGGUACUAUCCAUGCUAGAACGCACCUCUGAGGGUACUAUCCCUGCUAGAACGCACCUCUGAGGGUACUAUUCCUGCUAGGACGCACCUCUGAGGGUACUAUUCCUGCUAAGACGCACCUCUGAGGGUACUGUUCCUGCUAAGACGCACCUCUGAGGGUACUAUCCAUGCUAGAACGCACCUCUGAGGGUACUAUCCCUGCUAGAACGCACCUCUGAGGGUACUAUUCCUGCUAGGACGCACCUCUGAGGGUACUAUCCCUACUAGGACGUAUCUCUGAGGGUACUAACCUGCCAGAAUACACCUGAGGGCACUAUCCCUGCUAGAACGCACCUCUGAGGGUACUGUUCCCGCUAGAACACAACCUGAGGAUACUAUCCCUAACACACUCUGGGGGUACUACUCCUGCUAGAACGCAUCUCUGAGGGUACUAUCUCUGCUAGAUUGCACUAUGAGGGAAACUAUCCCUGCUAGAACACACACUGAGGGUACUACCCCUGAUAGAACACACACUGAGGGUACUACCCCUGCUAGAACACACACUGAGGGUACUAUCCUUGCUAGAACACACACUGAGGGUACUAUCCCUGCUAGUACGUUACUAGUUCUCCCGAGUAUUCAGGAUACGACAUGUGGCUGCCUACUCAGUAGUCGAUAGUCACCAACUAGCAACUAGUCUGCUGAACACAGAUGUACUACUGUCGCAUCCUUAAAAUUAGUGCGUCCAGGAGACGUUGUCGCGUGAAUGGUUAGAUUUAUUCGUUAUGGAGGCGAGAAACAGUAGUUCCGUUAUUACUGUGUGUGAAAGGCGCAUUUGAACGUUCGUACUGUUGGUGUUGGUAUUCUGCACAGCUCAGCUGGAUACCUCCACUGAUGUGAGGUUACACCUCCAGGGUGAGGUCACACCUCCAGGGUGAGGUCACACCUCCAGGGUGAGGUUACACCUCCAGGGUGAGGUUACACCUCCAGGGUGAGGUUACACCUCCAGGGUGAGGUUACACCUCCAGGGUGAGGUUACACCUCCAGGGUGAGGUUACACCUCCAGGGUGAGGUCACACCUCCAGGGUGAGGUUACACCUCCAGGGUGAGGUUACACCUCCAGGGUGAGGUUACACCUCCAGGGUGAGGUUACACCUCCAGGGUGAGGU
Molecule: non-coding RNA, 1560 nt
Organism: Cherax quadricarinatus
Lineage: Eukaryota; Metazoa; Arthropoda; Malacostraca; Decapoda; Parastacidae
Source: RefSeq, a predicted model, not a curated record